UAACACGUGAGUAACCUGCCUUAGACAUUGGGAUAGCCUCGGAAACCGGGAUUAAUACCAAAUGAAAUCACAUAUGCACAUGCAUAAAUGAUCAAAGCUCCGGCGGUCUAAGAUGGACUCGCGUCCCAUUAGCUAGUUGGUGAGGUAACGGCCCACCAAGGCGACGAUGGGUAGCCGGCCUGAGAGGGUGAACGGCCACAUUGGAACUGAGAAACGGUCCAAACUCCUACGGGAGGCAGCAGAU
This 244-nucleotide ribosomal RNA is filed under the name uncultured Peptoniphilus sp. RNAcentral describes it as "partial 16S ribosomal RNA". It matches the Rfam family "Bacterial small subunit ribosomal RNA", at positions 111 to 354 of the family's 1533-position model. The record is from RNAcentral. Lineage: Bacteria; Bacillati; Bacillota; Tissierellia; Tissierellales; Peptoniphilaceae.